AAUCAACGCUGGCGGCGUGCCUAACACAUGCAAGUCGAACGCGAAAGGGGAGCAAUCCCUGAUUAGAGUGGCAAACGGGUGAGUAACACGUGGGUGACCUGCCUUCGAGUGGGGGAUAACCUUCCGAAAGGAGGGCUAAUACCGCAUGACAUACCGUGUUUGGAUACACGGAUAUCAAAGCCGGGGAUCGCAAGACCUGGCGCUUGAAGAGGGGCCCGCGUCCGAUUAGCUAGUUGGUGAGGUAACGGCUCACCAAGGCUCCGAUCGGUAUCCGGCCUGAGAGGGCGGACGGACACACUGGAACUGAGACACGGUCCAGACUCCUACGGGAGGCAGCAGUGAGGAAUAUUGGGCAAUGCCCGGAAGGGUGACCCAGCAACGCCGCGUGAAGGAUGAAAGCCGUAAGGUUGUAAACUUCUGUUAGAGGGGACGAAUAGCUUCGAUCAAAUCGGAGUUUGACGGUACCAUCAGAGGAAGCACCGGCUAACUCCGUGCCAGCAGCCGCGGUAAUACGGAGGGUGCAAGCGUUGUUCGGAAUUACUGGGCGUAAAGCGCGCGUAGGCGGUUUGUUAAGUCAGAUGUGAAAGCCCAGGGCUUAACCUUGGACGUGCAUUUGAAACUG
This 622-nucleotide ribosomal RNA is filed under the name uncultured bacterium. RNAcentral describes it as "bacterial SSU rRNA". It matches the Rfam family "Bacterial small subunit ribosomal RNA", at positions 28 to 635 of the family's 1533-position model. The record is from RNAcentral.